UUCUUGUCUUAUUUUUUCCCUGGUAACUUUUAAUGGCUUAAAUAAUACAGAUUCACCCUGAGCUAUCAUCUGCUGCCAAUCUUCCUCUAUUUUGUAUGUGAGCCACCCUCACAGCAUGGCCACUUAUAGUCCCCUUCCACGGCCCUGAGAGAAGGAGGGAGACUGGUGGCCUUUAAAGGAAAAGACUCAGAGAUUUGAACGGUUGCCAGGCGGCCUCCAGGAAGAAGCAGCUGGGAGAAGCAGGACGGCACUGGACGCUUGGCAGAGAAAGACCCUGGGCAAGAGACUGGGGGUAAAGAUUUGGAGAUGAAAUAGCAAAGCGCUGAUCUAACUCAGGGCUGGCCCAAGCUGUUCCCAAGAGGGGCCCCUCAUCUUUACGAGAAUCUCUUGAGUGUCUGACUGUCUCGCUUGAUGCAGACCCAGGGUUGUAGUAGUGGCUACAUUUAUCCCAAAACAAUGAAAAGCCAACCACAAAGUUCCCCCAGCUCCCAGCCAUGCUGACACGGAAGGGAGAGGCUGUGGAAGAUGGCACUGGAUGUCCGAUGGCCCAGCCUGGUGGUGAAGGAUGUCACUUCUGCCUAUAUUCCGUUUCCCGCACUCAAUCAUGUGGUCCACGCCAUGCUGCACAGGCAGUUUGAGGAUGUGGUCUUCCCACCUGGCCAAGAUAAGGGAUGGGAAAAACUCUGGUAACAACAAGGGUCCCUGGAGAAGCCAGUCGGGGUAUCAGUGAUGGAGGGCCCAGAAAUUGUUGAGGAAUAUACUCUCUGCACAGCCAAGCCCGUUAGGAGAGACCGGCCCAUCCCCAGCUCCAGGUGGUAGAUUCCAGUUUGUCUAAAUUAGUCCAGUUCUCCUUGCUGGUGAUGGGGUUAGGCACAGACAGGUGACAAAAGCUUUUCUGGAUAUUGCUAUGCCAGAAUAUAGUGCCUGCAAGUGCUUUAUCUACCUAGCAAACUUGAGAGGCGCUAGCCCAAGGACAAAACUGAUACAGAGACAGGGAAGAGCCAAAAGAGACCCAAAGAAGCAGAGCUGUCACAAUUUGAGACUCCUUGUUAUGUGGAACAAUAGAUGCCCUUAUUGAUUAUGCCUUUCAAGUCAGGUUUCCAUCAUUUGUUGCCGAAAUCUUCCAGAUACGAUGACAUAUCUAGAGUGAUCAGGCACGGACAACAUCACCCUCUGGGAAGCUUUGUGACCUCAACAAGCACGAAAAGAUCAGCCAGGCUUUUUAGAAGAAUUCUGAGCUUGAAUCUUCGGUCAACUCUAGAAGCUGCUAAUGGUAGUUUGCUAACACCAAAUUCUGUGAAUCCUGAUAACUCCCUUAUUAAGCUACUGCUAAGGCGCCCUUCCAAGUGCGUGUAAAAUGAAGGUUUCAGAGGCAAAGGAAGGACAUCCAUUUUGGGACCAGGUCUCGGCAGAGAGUGGAAUCUAAACAACAAUUUGGAAACACCACUGCCCUAAAAAUAACUGGGGAUAUCCCACUAUGGUGGAGGGGCUGGCGGGUAACGUUUCCCACAAUAAGAAUUCCCGGUGAUAGCUAACCUGCUAUUUGUUGAAUAUGAGCUACAGCUAAAACACACUGCUAAAUGCUAACUACCAGGGGACAGUUUAUUAUCGUGAUGGCGAUUUAUAAGAGACUCUCAUAAACUCACUCGCGCUCAGAACGCACAGACCAGUGAAAAGUUCUUCCCCGCUCCUCUCCUGAUAGCUACGUGUAGACUUUCCCCCAGACGCUUGUCAACAUUCUUCAUUAAAAAUUUGGAUUCUCUCAUCAAAGCCAGCAGUCUGUUCUCUUUGAUUGCCCGUAAACCAGUGGUACUGUUUCAUUCUUUCUUUGUAUUCUCUCUGAAGAGAGUUGGUGAAAAUUUACAUAAUUUUAAUUGAAAGAUAGUUAGUCAUCAUGUGUGGGAAGGAAACGGCUGCCUAGAGUGGGUCUGGGACCCCGGGAAGCUGUCCUGUGCUCUUUUCCUUUGCUGUGCUGGCUUCUUCUCUGUGCUUUAACAUAAAACGUUUGUGAAACGAACCAAAAACGAAGUUGAGAAUUCAUCUUGUCUCAAGGAAUGAUGUUAAUUUGGCUCUUUUAGGUUACAAGGAAUACAGACAUCCUCUUACUUCAGAUGAUGACAUUAAGAGAAAGAAAGAAAACAGAGGAAUUGGGAAAUACAUCAGUGACUGGACAGCCACUUACCAGUCAAGACACAGCACCAGCACUAACGACCCAAUGAGAACUCUGGGGACCAGGCAUCUUCUUGUCUCGGAAGUGGACAUCUGUCACUCCCUCCUUGUGAUCCCCACACUGGUGACUUUGUUUCUUUCACACAUGAUUUGUCCACCUGCUGCCUCUGAAAGUUAGUGUCACUAUAUAUAGAAUUCUAGGUUGAAUGCUGGUGUUUUUUCGUUCAGCACUUAAAAUGAUCAUUUCAUUGUCUUCUGUCUUGUAUUAUUUCUGAUGAGAAGUCAGUCAUCAUUCUUGACAUUCCAUUUUUUAAAAAUCUCUUUUCAAUCUCUGACUCAGUUGGAUAAUAUCUAUAACUGCUGUUCAAGUUCAUUAAUGUUUUCUUUCUUUCUUUGUUUUUUUUUGGUGAGGAAGAUUGGCCCUGAGCUAAGUUCUGUUGCCAAUCUUCUUUUUUUCCCCUGCCCACAGCCCCAGUACCUAGUUGUCUGUCCUAGCUGUAGGUCCUUCCAGUUCUUCUAUGUGGGACACUGCCUCAGCAUGGCUUGAUGAGCGAUGGUAGGCAAACCCCAGGCUGCUGAAGUGGAGUGUGUGAACCUAACCACUACACCACUGGGCAGGCCCCACUAAUGUUGGCUUUUGAGGAUUCAAACUGCUGUUAAUAUCAUCUAGUGAACUUUUUAUUUCAGGCAUUGCAUUUUAUCAUGCUAGAAUUUCCAUUUUCUCCUUUUUUAGUGUUCACUUUUCUUGCCUGAGAUACCCCUAUCUCUUACAUUCACCUUUCUCUGUAAAUUCUUAAAAAUGUUUAUAAUAAUUGUUUUAAAAUUCUUCUUCAUUCCAAUAACUGGGGUUAACGGCCGGUCUGCCUCUAUUGACCAUGCUUUCUCUUGACUGUUGGUCAGUGUCUCCUGUUUGUUUGCAUGCCUCAUAAAUUUUUACUGUAUCUCAUAAACGUGUAUACAAAGACAGUGAAGACUGAAGUAUAAUAAUCUUCACAUUUUAUUUCUCAGAGAAUGCAGGCCCUUUCUCUCUGUCUGGCAGGCUGAAGGGCCAAUUAUUCACAUUCCUUCUGGAGUCAGAUUGACCCGGAUCUGGGCUGAAGUUUUAAUUAGAUUGAGAUUAUUUAUGCUUAGACGGACCCCCCAACUCGCACACUACUGCUGUCUUUUUGACAUUACCAAUAUUUGAGCUGAUGGUCUUCCAUUUUAAAUAUUUUUCAUUUACUUUGGAUUCAAGUCAGCAGAACCCUGGAAUCCAAGCUCUGUGGGAAUUCGGGGUUCUUGGUGACUUUGCUCUGCAUUUUAGUCCUUUCUUGUCUGAUUCUUUUCGGUCAAAGUUUGAGGGGAGAAGUUGUUGGGACCAUUUGUUUUUGUAAUUGGGACACUUCCACAUUUCGGAUUCACCUCUCUAGCCUCCACCACCAUCAGAGGCUCAGCUGAUUUCUUCUCCUUCCUGCAAAGUCCCUGCCAUACCUAAACCACAAACUCUUCCCUGGGGGUCGGCUGUCCUGACUCUCCGUUUGCCAGCGGAGGGCUCGUUUCUCAGAAACUCAGUUCAGUAAGCCUCCCUUUGUCCCAGAUCUUUCUUAGCCCCUUCGAAAAGUGUGAUUUUUAUAUGUCUGGGUUUUUGUUGGUGUUACCACGUGAACAAAGAUGUUUCAAGUCCUACCUUCUAACCUGAAGUGGAUGUCAGAAUCAAAGAUUUGAAUUUUUAAAAAUAUAACCAUAGGAUCACUAGAAAAAAAUAUGGGAUAAUUUAUUUUACAAUUUGGAAUGGAGAAAGUCCUUUCAAAGCAGGACGCAAACCUCAGAGCCUCAGAAAUCAUAGGGUGAUUUAAGCUCCCUCUUUCUGUCUCUCUCUCUCAUAUGCGUGAUGCGUGAGAUAUAUAGAUGUAUAUAUUCAUAGAUAUAGAUAUGGAUCUAUAUAUCUCUUCAACUUCAGUAUAGUAAAAUAUACCAAAGACAGAUGACAAACUGAGAAAGAAAUAUUUGCAACACAUAAGACAAAGAUUGCUUCAAAAAAACAUGUUGAGAUUUUUUAAUAAAUAAUUUUAGAAGGGAAAUGGAAAAGGCAGAUAGUUCACAUAAAAAUCAUCAUAAAUAGAUUGUCAACAUGGAAAGAUGCUCCCACUCACUGAAAAUUAAGAACUACGACGGGGGCCGGCUCUGUGGUCCAGUGGUUAAGUUCGUGUGCUCCGCUGCGGCGGCCCAGGGUUCAGACCCUGGGCGCGGACAUGGCACCGCUCAUCAGGCCAUGUUGAGGUUGCGUCCCACAUCCCACAACUAGAAGGACCUGCAACUAAGAUAUACAACUGUGUACCCGGGGGGUUUGGGAAAUAAAGCAGAAAAAAAAAAAAAAAAGAUUGGCAACAGUUGUUAGCCCAGGUGCCAAUCUUUAAAAAAAAAAAAAAAACUACGACGUGGACUGGACACUGUUUUCGCCUGUCACCUUGACACAGCUAGGUGCCAGGGUCUGGGAAGCCAGCAGUCGCACACACUGUGGAGGGGGGUGGAAAUUAGCACAGCGUCCUUAGAUGUGUUUGUUUCACGUUCUCUUAAGAGUGUUUUUUGUCAAUCUCUAACAAAAUUAGAAAAUUAAUAUGACCUUUGACCCAGCAAUUUCAGUUCCUAGGAAUUUAUUCUACAGAUAUGCCUAAAAUGCACAUAAGGAUGUGUGCAAAAGCGUAAUGAUUGCCGCAUUGUUGACAAGAGCAAAAACUGAAAACAACUAAUAUCCGUAAUGCGGGGCUGGUUAAAAAUUUAUGGCAUAUCAUCUCAACGGAAUGCUCCAAAGCUAGAAGGAAAUUCAGAGCCGUGUGUGCCGAGAUAGAAAGAUUACCAAGGUAUAUGGCCAAGUGCAAAAACCAAGACAUAGAAUAAUAUGAUUUAUAUGCCCUCAUUUAUAUAAAAAGAGGAGAUCAAUGGAUGUGUGUACAGGACAAUGUCUGGAAGGUACACAGGGAAUUGUUGAGGAGCGGGAUUAGGAGUCUGGGUUGGAAGGGGGUUUGUUUUUCAUUUUAAACUGCCCUAUUAUUUGAAUUUUUUUAAAAUCAAGGACCGUGUUAUUUUUAUAAAAUAAAGGAAGUCAUCACUAUGCUAUGAAAUAGGGCCUUUAGCAAUGUUUAUUACUUACUGACUUAUAUGGGUGUUGUAUCACAGACGGUGUCAUAUUCCCUUUUGAAUAUUCUCAGAGUCCAUUCUAGAGAGAGCCUUUCACACAGGAGAAACAAGGUGUGAACAAAGGAGCAAAUGAAACUAUGAAUUUAUUGACAGCCCGUGCGAGAUAUGCAAGUUGGCAGAAUCUACUGAUAAUCUCAAACCACCUUCUUCAGUGGUCCAGAUAAUGACCUAUUUUGCUGACCCGAAGUCAGAGCUACUACUCAUAAAGGCUUUGAAAAAACAUCAAUGAACAUUCGCUUUUGGGUGGGGCUAAGCCAUCAUUCUAGAAGAAAAAACGAUCUCUUGUCUUGUGUGAACCGCAACGGUAUUUUGGAAAUCACGGAACACUGGGCUGGGAAGCAAGUCUGAGUUCCGUAAUAAAUACUAACUAGCAUACAACCUGAAGUGAGUUACUGUUCCUGUUCCGGCUUCAUCUGUGACACGGUGACUGAUGGCUAAG
This 5785-nucleotide long non-coding RNA is filed under the name Equus caballus (horse). RNAcentral describes it as "lncRNA (ENSECAG00000050803.1)". Lineage: Eukaryota; Metazoa; Chordata; Mammalia; Perissodactyla; Equidae. The record is from RNAcentral.